This 309-nucleotide ribosomal RNA is filed under the name uncultured eukaryote. RNAcentral's name for it is "partial 18S ribosomal RNA". It matches the Rfam family "Eukaryotic small subunit ribosomal RNA", at positions 1470 to 1796 of the family's 1831-position model. The record is from RNAcentral.
CCCCUAGACGUUCUGGGCGGCCCGCGCACUACAUUGGCACUCUCAAUAAGUUCCUAGAUCUAAAACUUUGGGGUAUUCUAUUAAGUGGUGUCGUGACUGGGAUUAACCCUUGCAAUUAUUGGUUACGAACGAGGAAUUCCUUGUAAUCGCGGUUUAUCAGCCCGCGUUGAAUGCGUCCCUGCCCUUUGUACACACCGCCCGUCGCUCCUACCGAUGAAUCGCCCGGUGAAGUUCAUGGAGUGGUGGUUGUUCCAGCUGCUGUCGAAGUGAAAUGGACCUCACGAUUUAGAGGAAGGAGAAGUCGUAACA